This 387-nucleotide ribosomal RNA is filed under the name Pseudomonas putida. Its description in RNAcentral is "bacterial SSU rRNA". It matches the Rfam family "Bacterial small subunit ribosomal RNA", at positions 48 to 437 of the family's 1533-position model. The record is from RNAcentral. Lineage: Bacteria; Pseudomonadati; Pseudomonadota; Gammaproteobacteria; Pseudomonadales; Pseudomonadaceae.
CUAACACAUGCAAGUCGAGCGGAUGACGGGAGCUUGCUCCUUGAUUCAGCGGCGGACGGGUGAGUAAUGCCUAGGAAUCUGCCUGGUAGUGGGGGACAACGUUUCGAAAGGAACGCUAAUACCGCAUACGUCCUACGGGAGAAAGUGGGGGAUCUUCGGACCUCACGCUAUCAGAUGAGCCUAGGUCGGAUUAGCUAGUUGGUGAGGUAAUGGCUCACCAAGGCGACGAUCCGUAACUGGUCUGAGAGGAUGAUCAGUCACACUGGAACUGAGACACGGUCCAGACUCCUACGGGAGGCAGCAGUGGGGAAUAUUGGACAAUGGGCGAAAGCCUGAUCCAGCCAUGCCGCGUGUGUGAAGAAGGUCUUCGGAUUGUAAAGCACUUUA